This 460-nucleotide ribosomal RNA is filed under the name uncultured bacterium. Its description in RNAcentral is "partial 16S ribosomal RNA". It matches the Rfam family "Bacterial small subunit ribosomal RNA", at positions 338 to 795 of the family's 1533-position model. The record is from RNAcentral.
CCUACGGGAGGCAGCAGUGAGGAAAAUUGGUCAAUGGACGAGAGUCUGAACCAGCCAAGUAGCGUGAAGGAUGACUGCCCUAUGGGUUGUAAACUUCUUUUAUAUGGGAAUAAAAUGUUCCACGUGUGGGAUUUUGUAUGUACCAUAUGAAUAAGGAUCGGCUAACUCCGUUCCAGCAGCCGCGGUAAUACGGAGGAUCCGAGCGUUAUCCGGAUUUAUUGGGUUUAAAGGGAGCGUAGGUGGAUUGUUAAGUCAGUUGUGAAAGUUUGCGGCUCAACCGUAAAAUUGCAGUUGAAACUGGCAGUCUUGAGUACAGUAGAGGUGGGCGGAAUUCGUGGUGUAGCGGUGAAAUGCUUAGAUAUCACGAAGAACUCCGAUUGCGAAGGCAGUUCACUGGACUGCAACUGACACUGAGGCUCGAAAGUGUGGGUAUCAAACAGGAUUAGAUACCCCUGUAGUC